UGUUGGUUCUCCCGCAACGCUACUCUGUUUACCGAGGUCAGGUCCGGAAGGAAGCAGCCAGAGCAGACGACGUGUGCCGGGAUGUAGCUGGCAGGG
Molecule: signal recognition particle RNA, 96 nt
Filed under: Klebsiella pneumoniae
Lineage: Bacteria; Pseudomonadati; Pseudomonadota; Gammaproteobacteria; Enterobacterales; Enterobacteriaceae
Description: signal recognition particle sRNA small type
Rfam family: Bacterial small signal recognition particle RNA
About the family: The signal recognition particle (SRP) is a universally conserved ribonucleoprotein involved in the co-translational targeting of proteins to membranes. Archaeal SRP consists of a 7S RNA and homologues of the eukaryotic SRP19 and SRP54 proteins.
Source: RNAcentral